This 1035-nucleotide ribosomal RNA is filed under the name Escherichia coli. RNAcentral's name for it is "partial 23S ribosomal RNA". It matches the Rfam family "Bacterial large subunit ribosomal RNA", at positions 1217 to 2236 of the family's 2925-position model. The record is from RNAcentral. Lineage: Bacteria; Pseudomonadati; Pseudomonadota; Gammaproteobacteria; Enterobacterales; Enterobacteriaceae.
UGUGUUGUUGGGUAGGGGAGCGUUCUGUAAGCCUGUGAAGGUGUGCUGUGAGGCAUGCUGGAGGUAUCAGAAGUGCGAAUGCUGACAUAAGUAACGAUAAAGCGGGUGAAAAGCCCGCUCGCCGGAAGACCAAGGGUUCCUGUCCAACGUUAAUCGGGGCAGGGUGAGUCGACCCCUAAGGCGAGGCCGAAAGGCGUAGUCGAUGGGAAACAGGUUAAUAUUCCUGUACUUGGUGUUACUGCGAAGGGGGGACGGAGAAGGCUAUGUUGGCCGGGCGACGGUUGUCCCGGUUUAAGCGUGUAGGCUGGUUUUCCAGGCAAAUCCGGAAAAUCAAGGUUGAGGCGUGAUGACGAGGCACUACGGUGCUGAAGCAACAAAUGCCCUGCUUCCAGGAAAAGCCUCUAAGCAUCAGGUAACAUCAAAUCGUACCCCAAACCGACACAGGUGGUCAGGUAGAGAAUACCAAGGCGCUUGAGAGAACUCGGGUGAAGGAACUAGGCAAAAUGGUGCCGUAACUUCGGGAGAAGGCACGCUGAUAUGUAGGUGAAGUCCCUCGCGGAUGGAGCUGAAAUCAGUCGAAGAUACCAGCUGGCUGCAACUGUUUAUUAAAAACACAGCACUGUGCAAACACGAAAGUGGACGUAUACGGUGUGACGCCUGCCCGGUGCCGGAAGGUUAAUUGAUGGGGUUAGCGCAAGCGAAGCUCUUGAUCGAAGCCCCGGUAAACGGCGGCCGUAACUAUAACGGUCCUAAGGUAGCGAAAUUCCUUGUCGGGUAAGUUCCGACCUGCACGAAUGGCGUAAUGAUGGCCAGGCUGUCUCCACCCGAGACUCAGUGAAAUUGAACUCGCUGUGAAGAUGCAGUGUACCCGCGGCAAGACGGAAAGACCCCGUGAACCUUUACUAUAGCUUGACACUGAACAUUGAGCCUUGAUGUGUAGGAUAGGUGGGAGGCUUUGAAGUGUGGACGCCAGUCUGCAUGGAGCCGACCUUGAAAUACCACCCUUUAAUGUUUGAUGUUCUAACGUUGGCCCCU